This 345-nucleotide ribosomal RNA is filed under the name uncultured bacterium. RNAcentral describes it as "partial 16S ribosomal RNA". It matches the Rfam family "Bacterial small subunit ribosomal RNA", at positions 338 to 700 of the family's 1533-position model. The record is from RNAcentral.
CCUACGGGCGGCAGCAGUGGGGGAUAGUGCACAAUGGGGGGAACCCUGAUGCAGCGACGCCGCGUGUGGGAAGACGGUCCGCUGGAUUGUAAACCACGGUCGCCAGGGACGAAAAUGACGGAACCGGGGGAGGAAGCGCAGGCUAACUACGUGCCAGCAGCAGCGGUAAGACGUAGGGAGCGAGCGUUGUCCGGAAUGACUGGGUGGAAAGGGAGCGGAGGCGGGGUUGCAAGUUGGGGGGCAAAACUACCGGCUCAACUGGUAGUCGCCCUCCAAACUGCAGCUCUUGAGUGCAGUAGAGGCAGGCGGACUUCCUUGUGUAGCGGUGAAAUGCGUAGAUAUUAG